Molecule: ribosomal RNA, 685 nt
Filed under: Enterococcus faecalis
Lineage: Bacteria; Bacillati; Bacillota; Bacilli; Lactobacillales; Enterococcaceae
Description: bacterial SSU rRNA
Rfam family: Bacterial small subunit ribosomal RNA
Source: RNAcentral
UUUAGAGUUUGAUUCCCUGGCUCAGGACGAACGCUGGCGGCGUGCCUAAUACAUGCAAGUCGAACGCUUCUUUCCUCCCGAGUGCUUGCACUCAAUUGGAAAGAGGAGUGGCGGACGGGUGAGUAACACGUGGGUAACCUACCCAUCAGAGGGGGAUAACACUUGGAAACAGGUGCUAAUACCGCAUAACAGUUUAUGCCGCAUGGCAUAAGAGUGAAAGGCGCUUUCGGGUGUCGCUGAUGGAUGGACCCGCGGUGCAUUAGCUAGUUGGUGAGGUAACGGCUCACCAAGGCCACGAUGCAUAGCCGACCUGAGAGGGUGAUCGGCCACACUGGGACUGAGACACGGCCCAGACUCCUACGGGAGGCAGCAGUAGGGAAUCUUCGGCAAUGGACGAAAGUCUGACCGAGCAACGCCGCGUGAGUGAAGAAGGUUUUCGGAUCGUAAAACUCUGUUGUUAGAGAAGAACAAGGACGUUAGUAACUGAACGUCCCCUGACGGUAUCUAACCAGAAAGCCACGGCUAACUACGUGCCAGCAGCCGCGGUAAUACGUAGGUGGCAAGCGUUGUCCGGAUUUAUUGGGCGUAAAGCGAGCGCAGGCGGUUUCUUAAGUCUGAUGUGAAAGCCCCCGGCUCAACCGGGGAGGGUCAUUGGAAACUGGGAGACUUGAGUGCAGAAGUAGAG